AGUGAACGCUGGCGGUAGGCCUAACACAUGCAAGUCGAACGGCAGCACAGUAAGAGCUUGCUCUUACGAGUGGCGAGUGGCGGACGGGUGAGGAAUACAUCGGAAUCUACUUUUUCGUGGGGGAUAACGUAGGGAAACUUACGCUAAUACCGCAUACGACCUACGGGUGAAAGCAGGGGAUCUUCGGACCUUGCGCGAUUGAAUGAGCCGAUGUCGGAUUCGCUAGUUGGGGGGGUAAAGGCCCACCAAGGCGACGAACCGUAGCUGGACUGAGAGGAUGCUCAGCCACACUGGAACUGAGACACGGUCCACACUCCUACGGGAGGCAGCAGUGGGGAAUAUUGGACAAGGGGCGGAAGCCUGAUCAAGCCAUACCGCGUGGGUGAAGAAGGCCUUCGGGUUGGAAAGCCCUUUUGUUGGGAAAGAAAAGCAGCAGGUUAAUACCCCGCUGUUCUGACGGUACCCAAAGAAUAAGCACCGGCUAACUUCGUG
This 492-nucleotide ribosomal RNA is filed under the name uncultured bacterium. RNAcentral's name for it is "partial 16S ribosomal RNA". It matches the Rfam family "Bacterial small subunit ribosomal RNA", at positions 29 to 507 of the family's 1533-position model. The record is from RNAcentral.